GUAUGGGACAAAAGGGGGAAGCCUAGAAAGGAACAGCGGGCAAGAGGCUCGGGGCACCCGCGCGCCGCUGUGGUCUGUGGACCUGUGGUAGCGGCGGCACCAGGACAAGAGCCAAGCGCAUCUCGCAAUCCUCACCUUGGCUUCCACUCGGCCAUUUCCCACCUGGGCUCUGGAGCUGGAGCGAGCUCUCGGCCAGCAAGGAGGGUUGUUGUUUGGACUCUUGAAGCCUCUGAACUAGCUCAACAACGAAACAGUCCAAUGGGAGACUCCAAAGGAAGAGAAACUCUUCCACGGCUGCUAGAUCUUAUCCCUGAUGGGAAAGAAUGGGAGGCGAGGGAAGCACGAGGUGAAGGAAGAUCAAGAAACACUGGCUUUGGGAGCGAGGAGGACAGGAAGCUAGAGCUGAAACUCGGUCUUCCUGGUCUCGUAGAAGAAGCGACGGCAACGGUGUCAAGGCAUGAAGUGAUACAGCGAGAGAGGCCAGCUCUCUCUCUUUGUUGCUUCCGUGAACCCUCAAAGCCGACCACAAACACUACUACAACGGGGACAAAGAGGGUGUUCUUAGACACCAUUGAGGCCAAAACAGAAGGCUGUGAUGAGCAGAAACAGCAGGCCAGGGCUGGAUGUGGGAACGAACUAACACUGGAGCAAAAGAUUGCAGUGGUGAGUGAGAGAAAAAAAGGAUGCUGCGCCCCACCAUCACAUGCUCCUCCCGCAGCAUCUGGGCGCAACAGACCACAGGCCCAGGGAAGAGGUGCUUCAGUUCCGGUGGUGGGUUGGCCUCCAAUUGGAUCCUUCAGGAGAAACCUUUGCUAAUGGUAGUUCAUCCAAACAAUCAUCUGGGCAACAAAAGGGUGAAGCUAGCACAAAGGAGAAGCUCACCUGCAUUAAGAAUCCUCUCUUAAAAAUCAACAUGGACGGGAUUCCCAUCGGAAGGAAAGUAAACCUUGCAGCCUAUGACAGCUACGAGAGGCUGUCAUUGGCUGUCAAAGACCUUUUCCAAGGUUUUCUUGAAGCUCAAAAGGAUCCAUCUUGUGCUCAGAGUGAGCAAGCAGAUGAAAAAAUAUUUUCUCAAUUAUUGAACGGAAAAGGUGAAUAUACUCUAGUUUACGAAGACAAUGAAGGAGAUAGGAUGCUGGUGGGAGAUGUGCCGUGGAAUGUAUUUGUCUCAACUGCUAAAAGGCUGAGGGUUUUGAGGAGCUCGGAGCUUUCCUGUGGUUUGGUUGGAGUGGCUCCUAGAAGAGUACCAAAUUGCUGAAAGCCUGAAACAGUGAAGAAUUCUAUAACUUGGAAUGUGAGGAAACCGAAGCUGGCCCAUUCCAAUUUCGGGAUGACACCUAUUUUUUUCCUGUAGAGACUAAUCUAAUGAGAUAAACUAGCAUAUUUCAUAUGCAUGGGAAGGCGCUGGCUGUUUUGUAAAUUAGGCUACCAUGUAAUUUAUUGUUGUAGGUAGUGUCCUCAAGUAAUUCUUCAUGGUUUUGGCAUUGGAUUUUUUAGACAGUUGCAGAUGAAAGGCUUACCCAGGUAAAAUUCCUUCUUCUCUGUGACAGAUUUGUAAUCUUUUGUAACCCAACAUGCAAAUCUAAUGUGCAGACCACAAUCAUUAGUACUCACUAGUGUGCUGUAUAGAACAGCAACAUGCUAUGCACAUUGUUGACAUGGCAUUUAAGGAGUGCAGUGUCAUGUGGAAUUUGCCAUUACUACAAAAUGGGAAAAGAGCAAGGUUCACGCAAGCACCACAAGAACUACGAAAGCAAAGCAUGUGCCAGCGCCUUCAUGCUUGUUGGGUGCCAAAUUGCUCUGCUGUGCCAAUAGUGCCAGGACCUUGACUUCAUAGAAGAGGUGCAAGUUGUCACUCUUUGUUGUAAAGCUAAGAAAUCACAUGACGUCUUGUUUUACAUGAGUAUCUAACAUUAUCCAGGUCCAUUAAUGAGUACACGCACCUGAUGACACCAGCUGCCAAACCUGGAAGUUAUCUCCAAGCUGCCUUGGUGGCCUGGUGACCAUACCCCAGAUACUCUAAAAAAAAGUCAGGGUAAACAGCAGGUGGCAUUGGUUUUCUAGAAUGACAGAAACAACACAGCAAGUGACACUGUCUACAAACCAUGUUUUAUGCCAAUAAAUUUUGUUGACUUCUAAAAGUGGAAUAUCAGCACAGCCAGUUCCACUAUCUAUGUAUGCUUUGACCAUUAAGAAAACUAUUUAUGUACAGUACAGUUAAGGA
RNA transcript from Panicum virgatum (switchgrass), 2224 nucleotides. It is a transcript of the gene named auxin-responsive protein IAA6-like, with no coding region annotated. The transcript is spliced from 7 exons. The record is from RefSeq and is a predicted model, not a curated record. Lineage: Eukaryota; Viridiplantae; Streptophyta; Magnoliopsida; Poales; Poaceae.